Molecule: non-coding RNA, 104 nt
Organism: Erinaceus europaeus (western European hedgehog)
Lineage: Eukaryota; Metazoa; Chordata; Mammalia; Eulipotyphla; Erinaceidae
Source: Rfam
GUGCUCGAUUCAGCUGUACAUAUACUAGAAUUGGAACGAUACAGAGAUUAGCAUGGUAACUGUACAAGGAUGACAUGCAAAUUUGUGAAGCGUUCCAUGUUAAG